Long non-coding RNA from Tupaia belangeri chinensis (Chinese tree shrew), 275 nucleotides. RefSeq lists it as uncharacterized. Lineage: Eukaryota; Metazoa; Chordata; Mammalia; Scandentia; Tupaiidae. The transcript is spliced from 3 exons. The record is from RefSeq and is a predicted model, not a curated record.
GGUUGGACCAGGAAUCAAGCCUGGGCCUCCCAUCUUGUUCCAGCCUUCAAAGCAUAGUAUCUCAGAAGCACACAUUACAGAAUGCUCCAGAGCAACCUGGCUGCCACUGAAUACCACCAAAGGACCCAAGUGAUACACGCAGAGUAUAAGACAUGCUCAUCUGAGACUCUUCUGAUUGCUAAUCCACCAGUGCAUGUGAUUUAAUAAAAUGGUUACUGUUUUAAACCAGUAUGUCAGGCUCUUCAAAUCAGAAACACCGCCACCAGAAGGCCCCA